ACACUCCUGCGGGAGGCAGCAGUGGGGAAUUUUGGACAAUGGGCAAAAGCCUGAUCCAGCAAUGCCGCGUGAGUGAAGAAGGCCUUCGGGUUGUAAAGCUCUUUUGUCAGGGAAGAAACGGUGAGAGCUAAUAUCUCUUGCUAAUGACGGUACCUGAAGAAUAAGCACCGGCUAACUACGUGCCAGCAGCCGCGGUAAUACGUAGGGUGCAAGCGUUAAUCGGAAUUACUGGGCGUAAAGCGUGCGCAGGCGGUUUUGUAAGUCUGAUGUGAAAUCCCCGGGCUCAACCUGGGAAUUGCAUUGGAGACUGCAAGGCUAGAAUCUGGCAGAGGGGGGUAGAAUUCCACGUGUAGCAGUGAAAUGCGUAGAUAUGUGGAGGAACACCGAUGGCGAAGGCAGCCCCCUGGGUCAAGAUUGACGCUCAUGCACGAAAGCGUGGGGAGCAAACAGGAUUAGAAACCCCGGUAGUCCCAUGAU
RNAcentral lists this ribosomal RNA (477 nucleotides) under uncultured organism. RNAcentral's name for it is "partial 16S ribosomal RNA". It matches the Rfam family "Bacterial small subunit ribosomal RNA", at positions 333 to 801 of the family's 1533-position model. The record is from RNAcentral.